This 377-nucleotide ribosomal RNA is filed under the name uncultured bacterium. Its description in RNAcentral is "bacterial SSU rRNA". It matches the Rfam family "Bacterial small subunit ribosomal RNA", at positions 523 to 898 of the family's 1533-position model. The record is from RNAcentral.
AGACGUAGGUGGAAAGAGGUGUAAGGAGGUAUUGGGAGGAAAGAGAGAGCAGGCGGUUUCUUAAGGCUGAUGUGAAAGCCCCCGGCUCAACCGGGGAGGGUCAUUGGAAACUGGGAGACUUGAGUGCAGAAGAGGAGAGUGGAAUUCCAUGUGUAGCGGUGAAAUGCGUAGAUAUAUGGAGGAACACCAGUGGCGAAGGCGGCUCUCUGGUCUGUAACUGACGCUGAGGCUCGAAAGCGUGGGGAGCAAACAGGAUUAGAUACCCUGGUAGUCCACGCCGUAAACGAUGAGUGCUAAGUGUUGGAGGGUUUCCGCCCUUCAGUGCUGCAGCUAACGCAUUAAGCACUCCGCCUGGGGAGUACGACCGCAAGGUUGAA